GGGGAUUAGUGGCGAACGGGUGAGUAACACGUGGGCAAUCUGCCCUUCACUCUGGGACAAGCCCUGGAAACGGGGUCUAAUACCGGAUAUGACGCGCUCGGGCAUCCGAUGUGCGUGGAAAGCUCCGGCGGUGAAGGAUGAGCCCGCGGCCUAUCAGCUUGUUGGUGAGGUAACGGCUCACCAAGGCGACGACGGGUAGCCGGCCUGAGAGGGCGACCGGCCACACUGGGACUGAGACACGGCCCAGACUCCUACGGGAGGCAGCAGUGGGGAAUAUUGCACAAUGGGCGCAAGCCUGAUGCAGCGACGCCGCGUGAGGGAUGACGGCCUUCGGGUUGUAAACCUCUUUCAGCAGGGAAGAAGCGCAAGUGACGGUACCUGCAGAAGAAGCGCCGGCUAACUACGUGCCAGCAGCCGCGGUAAUACGUAGGGCGCGAGCGUUGUCCGGAAUUAUUGGGCGUAAAGAGCUCGUAGGCGGUCUGUCGCGUCGGAUGUGAAAGCCCGGGGCUUAACCCCGGGUCUGCAUUCGAUACGGGCAGACUA
Molecule: ribosomal RNA, 543 nt
Filed under: Streptomyces sp.
Lineage: Bacteria; Bacillati; Actinomycetota; Actinomycetes; Kitasatosporales; Streptomycetaceae
Description: bacterial SSU rRNA
Rfam family: Bacterial small subunit ribosomal RNA
Source: RNAcentral